AGAACGAACGCUGGCGGCAGGCCUCAAACAUGCAAGUCUAGGGGGCGUAGCAAUACGUCACCGGCGGACGGGUGCGUAACACGUGGGAAUGUACUUAUUGGUUCGGAACAACUCAGGGAAACUUGAGCUAAUACCGAAUGUGCCCGAAAGGGGAAAGAUUUAUCGCCAAUAAAUCAGCCCGCGUCCGAUUAGCUAGUUGGUGGGGUAAAGGCCCACCAAGGCGACGAUCGGUAGCUGUUCUGAGAGGAAGAUCAGCCACACUGGGACUGAGACACGGCCCAGACUCCUACGGGAGGCAGCAGUUGGGAAUCUUGGACAAUGGGGGAACCCUGAUCCAGCCAUGCCGCGUGAGUGAUGAAGGCCUUCGGGUUGUAAAACUCUUUCGACGGGGACGAUAAUGACGGUACCGUAGAGAAGCUCCGGCUAACUUCGUGCCAGCAGCCGC
RNAcentral lists this ribosomal RNA (445 nucleotides) under uncultured bacterium. RNAcentral's name for it is "SSU rRNA". It matches the Rfam family "Bacterial small subunit ribosomal RNA", at positions 26 to 518 of the family's 1533-position model. The record is from RNAcentral.